RNAcentral lists this ribosomal RNA (480 nucleotides) under uncultured Flavobacterium sp. Its description in RNAcentral is "bacterial SSU rRNA". It matches the Rfam family "Bacterial small subunit ribosomal RNA", at positions 42 to 523 of the family's 1533-position model. The record is from RNAcentral. Lineage: Bacteria; Pseudomonadati; Bacteroidota; Flavobacteriia; Flavobacteriales; Flavobacteriaceae.
GCAGGCUUAACACAUGCAAGUCGAGGGGUACCCCCACUUCGGUGCUAGAGACCGGCGCACGGGUGCGUAACGCGUAUGCAAUCUGCCUUUCACAGAGGGAUAGCCCAGAGAAAUUUGGAUUAAUACCUCAUAGUAUUAUGGAGUGGCAUCACUUUAUAAUUAAAGUCACAACGGUGAAAGAUGAGCAUGCGUCCCAUUAGCUAGUUGGUAAGGUAACGGCUUACCAAGGCUACGAUGGGUAGGGGUCCUGAGAGGGAGAUCCCCCACACUGGUACUGAGACACGGACCAGACUCCUACGGGAGGCAGCAGUGAGGAAUAUUGGUCAAUGGGCGCAAGCCUGAACCAGCCAUGCCGCGUGCAGGAUGACGGUCCUAUGGAUUGUAAACUGCUUUUGUACGAGAAGAAACACUCCAACGUGUUGGAGCUUGACGGUAUCGUAAGAAUAAGGAUCGGCUAACUCCGUGCCAGCAGCGCGGUAA